CGAAAAACGUGUACACACACGACGAGUCGAUUUUGCCGUGCUUGGGAAACAUACUAAAGGUGACCAUGACGGAAGCAGAACUGUUGUCUCAGGAGAAGAAGAAGAAGAA
Long non-coding RNA from Alosa alosa (allis shad), 109 nucleotides. RefSeq lists it as uncharacterized. Lineage: Eukaryota; Metazoa; Chordata; Actinopteri; Clupeiformes; Clupeidae. The transcript has 2 exons. The record is from RefSeq and is a predicted model, not a curated record.